Molecule: long non-coding RNA, 755 nt
Filed under: Vitis vinifera (wine grape)
Lineage: Eukaryota; Viridiplantae; Streptophyta; Magnoliopsida; Vitales; Vitaceae
Description: long non-coding RNA (VVIN_LNC003073)
Source: RNAcentral
ACAUUGAACUUUCGGACCAGGAGGCGCGAUCGGAGGCUGCCCAGAAGCUUAAGAUUGGUAUUUAUUUUGCGACUUGGUGGGCUCUGAAUGUGGUGUUCAAUAUAUACAACAAGAAGGUUUUGAACGCUUUUCCUUAUCCUUGGCUCACCUCAACUCUGUCGCUCGCAACUGGGUCGCUGAUGAUGUUGAUCUCCUGGGCUGUGAGGAUCGCUGAACCGCCCAAGACCGAUUUGGACUUCUGGAAAACCCUCUUUCCUGUGAGAAAAAUUAAAUUCUUCUUUUUAAAGAAUUUGGAUUUGGGGUUUUUGGCGUUUUGUUUUAGUUCUGAUUAGAAAAGGAAAUCGAAUUUUGAUUCUUUUCCAUUGUUUCCGAUUUUUAAAAUAAUGGAAAACCCAACUGGUGACGAGCCAAACAAUGAAGCCCAGCUGGGUGGAAGUUCUGGUUUUGCCUAAAUUUAAAAUUCUUGUCUUUUUCCUGAAGUUUUUCCGCAGACAAACAAAGCUUUAGUUUAAUUUGAAUGGCUUUUGUUGUGUAGGUUGCAGUAGCUCAUACAAUUGGUCAUGUAGCAGCAACUGUUAGCAUGUCAAAAGUUGCAGUUUCCUUCACCCACAUCAUCAAGAGUGGUGAGCCUGCUUUCAGUGUCUUGGUUUCAAGGUUUCUCUUAGGCGAGACCUUUCCGGUGCCGGUCUACUUCUCACUUCUGCCAAUUAUUGGAGGCUGCGCACUGGCUGCUGUCACUGAACUCAACUUCAAUA